CUCAUUAGAGUUAGGGUCUGAUUUUAAUUAUGAUUUUAAUAUUUUAUUUAGACCCGUCGACUGUUCGUACUUCAGAGGCGAACCAGAGUUAGAUUGCUUGUCAGGAUCACGUGGAUUUAGCAAGCAGUUUGUGAUUUGAGCAUUUGUCGAUCUCCGUUUCUUCAUUCCCGGAGGUUCUUUAUUUAUUUUCAGAUUAAAAGAGUCGAACUGUUUUAAACUCUUAGACCGCAGUAGUAGUAUUGGAUUAUUUAUGUUUUAGUCUUAUACUUAAUGUUUUAGACUAUUAUUUGUUGAUAUAGUUCAACCAUGAUUUAUCGCUUUA
Long non-coding RNA from Mercurialis annua (annual mercury), 322 nucleotides. RefSeq lists it as uncharacterized. The record is from RefSeq and is a predicted model, not a curated record. The transcript has 2 exons. NCBI's taxonomy places the organism in Eukaryota, Viridiplantae, Streptophyta, Magnoliopsida, Malpighiales, Euphorbiaceae.